GUCCAGUUUUCUCCUUUUUUUCCUUUUCUAUAUUUUUUUGAUAUCUUUUGAUUUUGAACUCCAAAUUGAUCCGAAUAAAUUCCAGAAAAUUUGUAAAAUCAUGUUUUAUCAUGAUUCAACUUUUGGGAGUAAUUUCCCCUCAAAAUAAAAUAUAUAAAAAUACAUUUUCCCUAUAAAUGCCUUUAGGGCUAUAUAACUAUUUAAAUAAAAUAGUUUUUCAACUCCAAAUAAUUAUCCAAAAAUUAUGGGAUAGCUUAUUUAUGCAAUAAACCCCUUUUAUAAAUAAACCC
This 290-nucleotide long non-coding RNA is filed under the name Brachypodium distachyon (stiff brome). RNAcentral's name for it is "long non-coding RNA (BDIS_LNC004855)". The record is from RNAcentral. Lineage: Eukaryota; Viridiplantae; Streptophyta; Magnoliopsida; Poales; Poaceae.